Molecule: long non-coding RNA, 1488 nt
Organism: Fukomys damarensis (Damara mole-rat)
Lineage: Eukaryota; Metazoa; Chordata; Mammalia; Rodentia; Bathyergidae
Exons: 5
Source: RefSeq, a predicted model, not a curated record
GAAACCUUUCCGCAUUCGGGCCCACUGAACCUUGUUCCCCAGGUGGGCUCGCAGACCGAAACAACUGGCACCUGAACAGGGGACUGGCGUAUUCUGGCUAAAGAUUGAAGUUUCAGAUCCAUGCUUUCGUUGGACCCAAGCUUCUUCAGAGAGGAUGUUUUGCCUUGGUCACCUCCUGUCCAGUCGUGAGGAAGUGUCUGCUGCCACAGACCAAUGAAUGCAGAGAUUCUAAGCACUGAAGUCAACUGGGAGAGAAUCAUAGUGAAUAAAGAGAACAAACCUCCCCAGUCCUGGAUCUACCAAACACACCUCCCAUGAUUUACAAACAGAAGUGCUGAAAUGAAUUAUGAAGUUACAGCGGCAGAAGACCCUGGAAAUACAUUUCACCAUCACAGUGACUAGAAACGAUUACUCCAUUUAUCAAAGUACCUGCAACUUCGGGGUGACUCACAUACAGGAUGUCAUUCAAUAUCUGUACUUUAAUAAUCGACGUUUUGCACAAACACGUGAUACUGAAAAUGGCAAGACUAAAGUAAAAUCCAUCUACUUCCAAAGGUCACACUUUCUCGAAAAGCAGUACUACAAGCAAUGACUUGUGUGUGAGGCGAGCCUGGGUCUUCUCUUCUGCAUUUUCUGCUGGUCCUGUGUUGCUUCUUCCUCGCGGGAAAGGUGGCUUUCAUUCUAGAACUAUUCUAUGGACGACCCUGGAAUAUCAGCGGUAAUCCUUGUUGGUUCUUAGAUAAGCUGAAAAUUGUCCCAAAGCACAUCCAGAACAACAGUCAGAUGGGAGGACUAAAAAUCUUGUAUUAUUUGUGUGGUUUUUCUUCAGGGUCUUGCUAAAUUACUCAAUUGUCCAAGCUAGGGUCAAAUUUGUCUUAUUCCUGCAUCAGCCUUCCAGAGUGCUGUGAUUGCAGGUGUGCACCACCACGCCCAGCUCAGACAAGUACAUCUUUAAAACAGUUUCCUCACAGAGUCGCAGAGCGCAAAGGGGUGGGAGCCAAGCGCUGCCCCCGUUUUCCUCACAGACUCCUGUGUGCACACCGUCAUUUGCACUCUGCAACCUCCGUGUGAAUCACCCUUAGACAGACGCCUUCAUCCCACAGUAGUACUUUCUGGAAAAAUUUCCAGAUCCCCACCUACAGAUUAGAAAUCACUCCUCAUUUUCCUGUGUUAUUUCAGACAUUUCCUGUGUUUUAUCGCUCUCUCUGGCCGCACUCGGCACACACUGUAGUUGCUCAUGUGGUUGUGUUUAUGCAGUGUGUGUAUAUCCAGCCUCUUGUUUCUACAUGUCCUAGAGGCUAAAUGUUAGAUCCUGUUCAGCUCUGAAACAACCACAGCAAUAUGGCACUGAAGACGUUUAACAUCUGGAGUGCACCCUUUGUGUAACAUCUGUCUUCUCUGCAACCCAACAUUAUUUUUAGUAAUGACUGCCAAAGGACACAAAACAAUAAUGACAUUAAAAAAAGAAAGGGAAGGAAAAAAUGGAAA